This 503-nucleotide ribosomal RNA is filed under the name uncultured Burkholderiales bacterium. RNAcentral describes it as "partial 16S ribosomal RNA". The record is from RNAcentral. Lineage: Bacteria; Pseudomonadati; Pseudomonadota; Betaproteobacteria; Burkholderiales.
CACGUAGUUAGCCGGUGCUUAUUCUUCCAGUACCGUCAUCCCUUCUAGGUAUUAGCCACAAGGAUUUCUUCCCGGACAAAAGAGCUUUACAACCCGAAGGCCUUCUUCACUCACGCGGCAUUGCUGGAUCAGGGUUGCCCCCAUUGUCCAAAAUUCCCCACUGCUGCCUCCCGUAGGAGUCUGGGCCGUGUCUCAGUCCCAGUGUGGCUGGUCGUCCUCUCAGACCAGCUACUGAUCGUCGCCUUGGUAGGCCUUUACCCCACCAACUAGCUAAUCAGAUAUCGGCCGCUCAGCAAGCAUGAGGUCUUGCGAUCCCCCACUUUCCCCCUCGGGGCGUAUGCGGUAUUAGCUAGUCUUUCGACUAGUUAUCCCCCAUUCCUGGCACGUUCCGAUAUGUUACUCACCCGUUCGCCACUCGCCGCCAGACCGAAGUCCGCGCUGCCGUUCGACUUGCAUGUGUAAGGCAUGCCGCCAGCGUUCAAUCUGAGCCAGGAUCAAACUCU